This 273-nucleotide ribosomal RNA is filed under the name uncultured bacterium. Its description in RNAcentral is "partial 16S ribosomal RNA". It matches the Rfam family "Bacterial small subunit ribosomal RNA", at positions 70 to 339 of the family's 1533-position model. The record is from RNAcentral.
AUUCGUCCAACGGAAGCAGUGAAAGGAAAGCGGCGGACGGGUGAGUAACGCGUGAGUAACCUGCCUUCAGGAGGGGGAUAACAUUCCGAAAGGAAUGCUAAUACCGCAUGACAUUGUAUUUCCGCAUGGAAUAACAAUCAAAGAUUUAUCGCCUGAAGAUGGACUCGCGUCUGAUUAGAUAGUUGGUGGGGUAAAGGCCUACCAAGUCGACGAUCAGUAGCCGAACUGAGAGGUUGAUCGGCCACAUUGGGACUGAGACACGGCCCAGACUCC